GGACUGUGAAUGGGAAGCCAUUAAAAUCUGUGAUGAAAGGCGUACUAUGAUGAAAAGCUGAUGGGAAGCGACAUCCCAGACCUAACAAAGAUGAGCUGGUGUUGGCCGGGACACUCAUUGUUGAGAAGAAAUCAAACGGUCUGAUUGCUGGACUUGAGGUUUAACAUUUGUUGGACACGAGGUGGUCACUGAUGUCUCGCUGGCAUGCACCAGGUUCUCGUCAUCAAAGUCGUCCCAUUCAUCUCCAAGGUCAAAGCUGACGGUCGGUAUGUGUGAG
Molecule: non-coding RNA, 277 nt
Organism: Epinephelus lanceolatus (giant grouper)
Lineage: Eukaryota; Metazoa; Chordata; Actinopteri; Perciformes; Serranidae
Source: RefSeq, a predicted model, not a curated record